RNAcentral lists this ribosomal RNA (600 nucleotides) under uncultured bacterium. RNAcentral's name for it is "bacterial SSU rRNA". It matches the Rfam family "Bacterial small subunit ribosomal RNA", at positions 736 to 1339 of the family's 1533-position model. The record is from RNAcentral.
UUUACUGACGCUAAAGCUCGAAGGUGCGGGUAUCGAAACAGGAUUAGAUACCCUGGUAGUCCGCACGGUAAACGAUGGAUGCCCGCUGUUUGCGAUAUACUGUGAGCGGCCAAGAGAAAUCGAUAAGCAUCCCACCUGGGGAGUACGCCGGCAACGGUGAAACUCAAAGGAAUUGACGGGGGCCCGCACAAGCGGAGGAACAUGUGGUUUAAUUCGAUGAUACGCGAGGAACCUUACCCGGGCUUGAACUGCAGGAGAACGAUACAGAGAUGUUGAGGUCCUUCGGGACUCCUGUGGAGGUGCUGCAUGGUUGUCGUCAGCUCGUGCCGUGAGGUGUCGGCUUAAGUGCCAUAACGAGCGCAACCCUUUUCAUUAGUUGCCAUCAGGUAAUGCUGGGCACUCUGGUGAUACUGCCACCGUAAGGUGUGAGGAAGGUGGGGAUGACGUCAAAUCAGCACGGCCCUUACGUCCGGGGCUACACACGUGUUACAAUGGGGGGUACAGAGAGUCGGAUGUACGCAAGUACAUUCUAAUCCUAAAAGCCUUCCUCAGUUCGGAUUGGGGUCUGCAACCCGACCCCAUGAAGCUGGAUUCGCUAGU